UACGGGGGGAGCAAGCGUUGUUCGGAUUUACUGGGCGUAAAGGGCGCGUAGGCGGCGCGGUAAGUCACUUGUGAAAUCUCUGAGCUUAACUCAGAACGGCCAAGUGAUACUGCAGUGCUAGAGUGUGGAAGGGGCAAUCGGAAUUCUUGGUGUAGCGGUGAAAUGCGUAGAUAUCAAGAGGAACGCCUGAGGUGAAGACGGGUUGCUGGGCCAACACUGACGCUGAUGCGCGAAAGCCAGGGGAGCAAACGGG
This 253-nucleotide ribosomal RNA is filed under the name uncultured bacterium. RNAcentral's name for it is "partial 16S ribosomal RNA". It matches the Rfam family "Bacterial small subunit ribosomal RNA", at positions 524 to 776 of the family's 1533-position model. The record is from RNAcentral.